GCGGUUGUGGUGUAACGGUUAACAUUGGUGCUUGUGGAGCACUCGAUUCGAGUUCAACUCUCGACAACCGCC
Molecule: non-coding RNA, 72 nt
Organism: Candidatus Kaiserbacteria bacterium
Lineage: Bacteria; Candidatus Kaiseribacteriota
Source: Rfam